GCGAACACGUAUCGCUCAUUGUUUUUUUAUCAUCUUGAAACACUUCGCGCUCUCAACCGUACGAGACUUCUUAUAAGACUCUACGUCUACACAAUUUUUUUUUCCAAAUUCUUUUUCGAAGUUUUCGAGAUAGUGCAACAUGGAUAGUGAACUUCGAAUUUAGAAUGAAGAUUUUUUCUUUUUUUUUUCGAAAUGAAAUCACUUGUCAACUUAUACGAAAGCAAGGGAGCAAAGCGAAUGCGAGUGGCGUAAGGUUGUACGAUUAUUUUUGUCGAUAGUCAACUGGCUCUACAUUUCUGAAUGAUCAACUCAAACAUUUAAAAUAAAAACAAAAAAUAAUAAAUCAAAUGGAAGUGAAAUAUUCCAACUUCGAAAUAAGUGAAGGAAGUGCCAUCUAGUGUCGGGAAAUGAAAAAAAAAAUACAGAGGCGCUGAAAAUAGUGUCAAGGAAAAUUGAAAAUAAAAAGAAAACAGAAAAUAAGAACGUUCAGCAUGAAGUUUUACUACUGAACUAUGAGAUAUUGGAUUGAACCGCUGCACUGUCAUGAGAUUCGAACGUGUCGGAAACUGGAAAAAAAACAUCGCCGCGCCCAACCUGUUGUGGUUGGGGACAUUUGG
This is a long non-coding RNA of Ostrinia nubilalis (European corn borer), 617 nucleotides long. RefSeq lists it as uncharacterized. The record is from RefSeq and is a predicted model, not a curated record. The transcript is spliced from 3 exons. NCBI's taxonomy places the organism in Eukaryota, Metazoa, Arthropoda, Insecta, Lepidoptera, Crambidae.